RNAcentral lists this ribosomal RNA (445 nucleotides) under uncultured bacterium. RNAcentral describes it as "partial 16S ribosomal RNA". It matches the Rfam family "Bacterial small subunit ribosomal RNA", at positions 354 to 796 of the family's 1533-position model. The record is from RNAcentral.
GUGAGGAAUAUUGGUCAAUGGGCGAGAGCCUGAACCAGCCAAGUCGCGUGAAGGAUGAAGGUUUUAUGAAUUGUAAACUUCUUUUGCAGGGGAAUAAAGUACGGUACGUGUACCGUUUUGUAUGUACUCUGCGAAUAAGGAUCGGCUAACUCCGUGCCAGCAGCCGCGGUAAUACGGAGGAUCCAAGCGUUAUCCGGAUUUAUUCGGUUUAAAGGGUGCGCAGGCGGGUUGAUAAGUCGGCGGUGAAAGUUUGCAGCUUAACUGUAAAAUUGCCGUUGAAACUGUCGAUCUUGAGUGCAAAUGAGGUAAGCGGAAUGUGUUGUGUAGCGAUGAAAUGCUUAGAUAUAACACAGAACACCGAUUGCGAAGGCAGCUUACUGGGAUGCAACUGACGCUCAUGCACGAAAGCGUGGGGAUCAAACAGGAUUAGAAACCCCUGUAGUCC